This is a long non-coding RNA of Papaver somniferum (opium poppy), 234 nucleotides long. RefSeq lists it as uncharacterized. The transcript is spliced from 2 exons. The record is from RefSeq and is a predicted model, not a curated record. Lineage: Eukaryota; Viridiplantae; Streptophyta; Magnoliopsida; Ranunculales; Papaveraceae.
UUAUAAUCAAUUAUCGAUUUAUCGAUUUAGGUUGUGUUCUUCGGAACCAAUAGGCUUGAUUCGUGAGAAUUGAGAUAUUAUCAGCGUUUAUGAUCCAAAUCAUGUUAUUGUACAUCUAGGUACAUAACCCGCACAAGGGGGAGUGUUAUAGGGCUUAUAGCCCGUUGAUGUGCGGCCCAAUAUAGUGUCUAGGGUCUUCUUCCUACUUGUAUAUAAAGGAAAAUAUUUAUGUAA